This 299-nucleotide unclassified non-coding RNA is filed under the name uncultured Sebacinales. RNAcentral's name for it is "sequence contains ITS2". Lineage: Eukaryota; Fungi; Basidiomycota; Agaricomycetes; Sebacinales. The record is from RNAcentral.
AACGCACCUUGCACCCUUUGGUAUUCCGAAGGGUACACCCGUUUGAGUGUCAUUGUAAUCUCACUACAACUACUUUAUUGUUGUUUGUAUGUGGAUCUGGAUGUUGCCGUGUAACAAACGGCUCGUCUGAAAUGCCUGAGUGUACCCUGCUUUGCGGCGUAUUCGGUGUGAUAAAUCUUCACCGGAGUUGACUUUCGGGUCGCGUUCUGCUUAACAUGGCUCUAUGCUUCCAACCGUCCUAACAAGACAACCUUUGACAAUUUGACCUCAAAUCGGGUGGGACUACCCGCUGAACUUAA